CCUACGGGUGGCAGCAGUGGGGAAUAUUGGACAAUGGGGGGAACCCUGAUCCAGCCAUGCCGCGUGUGUGAAGAAGGCCCUCGGGGUGUAAAGCACUUUCAGUGAGGAAGAACGCCUGGUGGUUAAUACCCAUCAGGAAAGACAUCACUCACAGAAGAAGCACCGGCUAACUCCGUGCCAGCAGCCGCGGUAAUACGGAGGGUGCGAGCGUUAAUCGGAAUUACUGGGCGUAAAGCGCGCGUAGGUGGCUUGAUAAGCCGGUUGUGAAAGCCCCGGGCUCAACCUGGGAACGGCAUCCGGAACUGUCAAGCUAGAGGGCAGGAGAGGAAGGUAGAAUUCCCGGUGUAGCGGUGAAAUGCGUAGAGAUCGGGAGGAAUACCAGUGGCGAAGGCGGCCUUCUGGACUGACACUGACACUGAGGUGCGAAAGCGUGGGUAGCAAACAGGAUUAGAUACCCUGGUAGUC
RNAcentral lists this ribosomal RNA (465 nucleotides) under Vreelandella stevensii. Its description in RNAcentral is "partial 16S ribosomal RNA". It matches the Rfam family "Bacterial small subunit ribosomal RNA", at positions 338 to 795 of the family's 1533-position model. Lineage: Bacteria; Pseudomonadati; Pseudomonadota; Gammaproteobacteria; Oceanospirillales; Halomonadaceae. The record is from RNAcentral.